Molecule: ribosomal RNA, 468 nt
Filed under: uncultured bacterium
Lineage: Bacteria
Description: partial 16S ribosomal RNA
Rfam family: Bacterial small subunit ribosomal RNA
Source: RNAcentral
GACGAACGCUGGCGGCGUGCUUAACACAUGCAAGUCGAACGGAAAGGCCCUGCUUUUGUGGGGUGCUCGAGUGGCGAACGGGUGAGUAACACGUGAGUAACCUGCCCUUGACUUUGGGAUAACUUCAGGAAACUGGGGCUAAUACCGGAUAGGAGCUCCUGCUGCAUGGUGGGGGUUGGAAAGUUUCGGCGGUUGGGGAUGGACUCGCGGCUUAUCAGCUUGUUGGUGGGGUAGUGGCUUACCAAGGCUUUGACGGGUAGCCGGCCUGAGAGGGUGACCGGCCACAUUGGGACUGAGAUACGGACCAGACUCCUACGGGAGGCAGCAGGGGGGAAUAUGGCACAAUGGGCGGAAGCCUGAUGCAGCAACGCCGCGUGCGGGAUGACGGCCUUCGGGUUGUAAACCGCUUUCGCCUGUGACGAAGCGUGAGUGACGGUAAUGGGUAAAGAAGCACCGGCUAACUACGUG